RNAcentral lists this long non-coding RNA (2327 nucleotides) under Equus caballus (horse). RNAcentral's name for it is "lncRNA (ENSECAG00000056908.1)". Lineage: Eukaryota; Metazoa; Chordata; Mammalia; Perissodactyla; Equidae. The record is from RNAcentral.
GUCAGUAGCUGUCUCACCAAGUUUACAUAAGCAGUCCAAACUCCGGAAACCUUGAGUCUUUCUAUAAUCUCCCUCCCAGGUCUCCAUCGCCAGGGUCCCUGAGCAAGUGACUUCAGAGACCUGAGCCCUAAGCCUCUUCUUUGUUAAUUCAGGAUUUCUUCUUUCUGGGGAUCAAAAAUGGCUAUUUCCAAGGUCUGGGAUCUUCCUCUCCUACGAGAUGCAGAAGUCAAGUGGAUUGAUCAUUAUUAAAUUUAUUUAAAUAAUGAGGAAAUUGAGAUAUCUAAAGUUAGGGCCAUGGCCAAGAACGCAGUGCACAUCAAUGGAAAAAUCUAGAAAUACAGAUGAUGAUUAGCCAUGUCCAUGCUCAGAGGAGACGAAAGGAGGCUGUUAGUGCCGUCUUUAUGACAAAAGACAACAGUCCAGGCUGACUCCUCCCAUGCCACAAAACUGCUAUAAACUCCCAAAUUGGCAAGUGUUGGCUUAUAGAUGGCACCAACCCCAGGAACGAUGAGGUCAGCUCCUGGGAUGGAAAAACAGCUUCUGGAUUCCACAUAUUGGCGAGAUCAUACGGUAUUUGUCUUCCUCUGCUGACCUACUUCGCUUAGCACAAUGCCUGUGAGGUCUAUCCAUAUGGUUGCAAAUGCCAUCCUAACAGGUGUGAGCUGAUAUCUCAUUGCGGUUUUGAUCUGCAUUUCCCUGAUGACUAGUGAUGUUGAACACCUUUUCAGGCCAUCAAAAUCCACUUUACCUGAAAUAUUUUUUCUUGUUGUUUGGACCCGGGCUGGUGAGCUAAGUCUUCCUUCUUGCUGCCUCUUGGAGGAGAAGGUAAUAACCGAACACAGUGACAUUACUUGUCGUCUUCACACUCAUGUGCAGAGUCGAUAAACACAAAAGAAUCUACUGUGUCGGGAUGAGCUUCUGUGUCAUCGUAGCUCAGCUGGAGAUUUAGAGACCUGCAGUGGGAGUGGGUUGUUCGAUUCAACUUAACAACCAUUCAUUUCUUACCUCCUAAGUGCAGAAAAAGAGAGAUGAGAGACAGGCGACUGGACAGAGAGAUACCAAGACAAGAAAGGGAAGGGGCGGCUCUCCAGAUGCUCUAAAACCAUAAUAAAUAAAAAAUCAUUCUUAAAUCAUCUCAAACCAACAAACGCUGUCAUUGGCACGCACACACACACACUACACCCUAUAGGCACGUAGGGGAGAGAGAGAGAUAGGCAAAUAUUUGGGGUUUUGAAUGGGUAUGCGUUGAUAGGCUGAUGGAGUGCGCACGUGCGCACACACACACGCACUUUAUAGAAAGGCCCAGAGGAGGGGAGCAGAGGGUUCAGAGAAUGGCCAGAAGUCUGAUGUAAGAGCCUGCAUAGCCAAGGGAAAGGGUGGAAGCUGUAGAAGAUAAUGGCUGGAGAGGUAAAUAGGGCUUUUAACACCAGGCUGAGAAGUCCAGACCUCAAUCUGUAAGGAAGGAGAGAGCACAGCAGGUUUUGAACAGAGAAGAGACAGGAUCAGAUCUGUACUUUAAAAAAUAACCCUGGAGAGAGAUUGGAGGCACAAACAACAACAAUAGCCUCCCUUGACUGAGUAGCUAUCCCUAUAUUGCAAGUAUGGAAACAGACUCAGAAAGGUUAAGUGGUUUCACCUAGGUCACACAGCAGUUAGGUGUCAGAGCCAAGAUUUCCACUCGGAUCUGACUGAAUCUACAGUAUAAAGACCUACUCUUCAGUCCUGUCUACAAUUAGGCUACUGUCAAGGUCCAGAGGGAAUGAAGGCCUGUACACAGUGGCAGCAAAAAGAAGAGAUGGGGCAGGAGACACUGAGGAAGCAGAAUGGAUAGAUGGUUCCCUGUCUACUCAUAGUGACCUGGGGUCCUCAUAGAGAAAUCUCAGUCUGGAAGAGCGAAGAUCACGGAGGAAGAAACAAGAAGACAUUUGGUGAAUCCUGGGUGUCUUAUUCCUGCCAGAAAACCUGAAGCUCACUGUGGAGUACCAAGCAGCAAGAACUCAUUCCCGUUGUGUCUUUAGCGACAACAUACUUCUUGCCAGAUUCCUUUUCUUCACCUUCCCCUUUAUAUAUCUGGGUUUCACAUGCAGCCUGUCCAUGUCUGUGUUAUGAAUUCAUAAUGAUAGUCUCUGGUUAUCUGCAUGAAUCUGGAAAAUGCUUGUGUGUUUGCAUCAUUGAUCUGUGUAAAUAGAAAAGCCCAGUGAAAAGGGCUGGAUGCUGUUAUGAUAUUCGUGGAUAGGUCUGAGCCUGUCAUUACUCUCCUUUGUGUGACUAUUGUGAUGUUGGAUAUCUACCUUGUUUGUGCAUCAGAAUUGUUGUUUGCUGUCCAG